Molecule: ribosomal RNA, 1443 nt
Filed under: Triticum aestivum (bread wheat)
Lineage: Eukaryota; Viridiplantae; Streptophyta; Magnoliopsida; Poales; Poaceae
Description: partial small subunit ribosomal RNA
Source: RNAcentral
AUGAUAUGUCUAGAUAUUCAAAAAGACCUUGCUACAUGUUGUGCAUUGGAGGUAACCGAAGUCAUCAAGGAUGAGCUUGGAGAUAAGAAAUUCUCGAUACUUAUUGAUGAGGCUAGAGAUUGCUCAAUAAAGGAGGAAAUGGCAAUAAUUUUGAGAUUUUUAGAUGAUCACGGAGAACUUCAAGAGAGAUUUCCUGCUAUUAAGCACAUCACAAAUUGUACAUCUGCCGGAAUUAAAGAAGCAUUGGUUCAUGUGUUGGAGUACCAUGGCCUGCCUAUUAAUAGGCUACGUGGACAGGGUUACGAUGGGGCUUCAAAUACGAGAGGUGAAUUCAACGGUUUGCAAAAGCUAAUUCAUGAUGAGAGUCCAUAUGCUUUCUUUGUUCACUGCUUUGCCCAUCAGUUACAGUUACUGGUUGUCACAGUGGCUCAGUGUUGUCCAGUUAUUGCUGAUUUUUUCAACUACCUUCCCUUGAUAGUGACUCAGGUGGGUUCAUCUUGCAAAAGGAAGGAUGCAUUGCUUGCAAAACAUCAAGACAACUUGAUAGAAAUGAUGGAAAAUUGUAAGAUAUCAUCUAGAACUGGGUUACAUCAAGAAACUAACCAAGCUAGACCAGGAGCUACUCGUUGGGGCUCACAUCUUGGAACCUUGCUUUGUAUGUACACAAUGUGGAAUGCAGUGGUGGAUGUGCUUGCAAUUGUGGUUGACGAUGCCCGGGAACACACUUCUCAAGGUGGAGCUUCAGGUUUGAUCAUACAGAUGGAAUGCUUCCAGUUUGUGUUCAUCAUGCUAUUCUUAAUAAACUUGUUGAGCAUCACUAAUUUGCUAUCACAAGCUUUGCAAAGAAAGAAACAAGAUGUUGUUGAAGCCAUGCGUUUGAUCUUGGAUGUGAAAGAAGCUUUGCAAAAUAUGAGGGACAAUGGGUAUGAGUCAUUAUGCGACCAAGCAAACAACUUCUGUGAGGAACAUGGCAUUGAGGUGCCAAAUAUGGAUGAUCUUGUAGGAGCUAAGGGGCAAUCUGUUCGCAGCAAGAAAAAGGUGACUCGACAUCAUUAUUUCAAGGUUAGCAUAUUCAAUGUUGCUCUUGAUGCAACUCUCACCGAGAUGAAUCACCGAUUCAAUGAAGUUAACACCGAGUUAGUGGAUUGCAUGUCUUGCCUUACUCCAACAAACAACUUCUCAAUGUUUAAUAUUGAAAAACUUAUUCGACUUGCUGAAAUUUAUGCUGAGGAUUUUACACAAGCUGAACGGUUGUUGCUAAGAACUCAACUUCCUACAUUCCUUACCAAUAUUAGGAGAAGUGAUGAAUUCGAUGGAUGUUCGGAUGUUUCCACCCUUGCUCGGUUGAUGGUUCAAACAACAAAACACAGAACUAUCCAAUUGGUAUAUCGCCUCAUCGAGUUGACAUUGAUUCUUCCAGUGGCAAUUUCCUCGGUUGAGUGA